GGGGAUGUAGCUCAGUGGCGAAGCCCUUAUCUGACAUGCAGGAGACCCUGGGUUCAAAUCCAAGUAUGCCCC
Molecule: transfer RNA, 72 nt
Filed under: Ictidomys tridecemlineatus (thirteen-lined ground squirrel)
Lineage: Eukaryota; Metazoa; Chordata; Mammalia; Rodentia; Sciuridae
Description: Spermophilus tridecemlineatus (thirteen-lined ground squirrel) tRNA
Rfam family: tRNA
About the family: Transfer RNA (tRNA) molecules are approximately 80 nucleotides in length. Their secondary structure includes four short double-helical elements and three loops (D, anti-codon, and T loops). Further hydrogen bonds mediate the characteristic L-shaped molecular structure. tRNAs have two regions of fundamental functional importance: the anti-codon, which is responsible for specific mRNA codon recognition, and the 3' end, to which the tRNAs corresponding amino acid is attached (by aminoacyl-tRNA synthetases). tRNAs cope with the degeneracy of the genetic code in two manners: having more than one tRNA (with a specific anti-codon) for a particular amino acid; and 'wobble' base-pairing, i.e. permitting non-standard base-pairing at the 3rd anti-codon position.
Source: Rfam by way of RNAcentral